Molecule: ribosomal RNA, 255 nt
Filed under: uncultured bacterium
Lineage: Bacteria
Description: partial 16S ribosomal RNA
Rfam family: Bacterial small subunit ribosomal RNA
Source: RNAcentral
CUGGGUUGGGAUGAGUGGCGAACGGGUGAGUAACACGUGAGUAACCUGCCCUCUUCUUUGGGAUAACGGUCGGAAACGGCUGCUAAUACCGGGUAUUCACUGUCCUUCGCAUGGGGGGUGGUGGAAAGGUUUUUUCUGGUGGGGGAUGGGCUCGCGGCCUAUCAGCUUGUUGGUGGGGUGAUGGCUUACCAAGGCUUUGACGGGUAACCGGCCUGAGAGGGUGACCGGUCACAUUGGGACUGAGAUACGGCCCAG